Molecule: ribosomal RNA, 564 nt
Filed under: Triticum aestivum (bread wheat)
Lineage: Eukaryota; Viridiplantae; Streptophyta; Magnoliopsida; Poales; Poaceae
Description: partial small subunit ribosomal RNA
Source: RNAcentral
AUGCUUACUGCCAUUGCUAUUUAUCAUAUUACGCCCCUGGAAUUGCCGGUGGAAGUGAGGAAGAAGAUUGACAGUUUGCGACGCGCCUACCUUUGGGCGGGUUGUGACAAGGUGACCGGUGGAAAAUGCAAGGUCAACUGGGAACUUGUCUGCAAGCCCAAGAUCUUCGGUGGUUUGGGCAUCCUCAACCUGGAGAAGUUUGCUACUGCCCUUCGAUUGCGAUGGCUCUGGUAUGAAUGGGCUAACCCACCCAAGACUUGGGUUGGGAUGGGAACGCCGUGCAAUGACAAUGAUAGGGACAUUUUUGCGGCGGCCACCACGGUUCACAUUGGAGAUGGAAGAAAGGCAAAGUUCUGGGAAUCAUCCUGGCUCCAAGGCAUGAGACCCAAAGAUAUUGCUCCUAGGAUCUUUGACCUCUCGAGGAAGAAAUCUUGCUCGGUCCAAAUUGCUCUCCUCAACAAUUUUUGGGUUAGUCAGAUUGAUACCCAUCAUGGAAUCACCCUGGAGCACCUACAGGAGUUCAGCACACUUAGGGAGAAACUAUCCUCUGUUAUUCUCAAAUAG